UCGGUGCAGCACCAGAAUCAGCAGCCAGUGAAGAAAUCGCGGCUGGAUCUUUUGGUAAAUAUUGGAGGUGAUCCUUUUGCUUCCCUGGUACCCCAGAACACCGCUGCACAGGCCUUUGGGGCCUUCCCUGCCUUCGGAGCUCAGCAGACCGCACAUCCGGGCUUCCCAGGCUUCAGUCCAUUUAGCAGUGGAGGCUCAGCUAAUGUUGGAAAUUUCCCACCGGCCAACCAAGCCCCUUUCCAGGUCCAGUCCGCAACCUCAGAUCAUUACUAUGCUGCCCUCUGCUUGGAGAAAUAAUCAGGAGGACUGUGGACACGGGGAUUGGGAUCUUUGGGCCAAGAACACCAGGAAGAAACAAAAAACAGCCUUGGUCACCUAUCAGAAGUCUCCAGUCAAAGUACAAACAAGUCAAAUGAUUGCAGGAUCAGGAUGAUGGCUUUUGCAGUUCAGUUUUGUAUGGGAGUUAUCAGAUCUCUGGUUUGUUUCAGACUAAAUACCCUGAUGGAGAUUGUGAUAAAACUCUGCACUUAACAGGCUUCAAAAAUCCGAAGGAGCAAGCUAGAACGUACAUAAGAGUCUACAGUUACAGAAAAAUAUUUUAGACACAAUGCAAAUAAUGCUUCCUUUCAUACUAAAAAAUACUUCACAAAAUUGUAAAAACCAACCUAUUUAAAAGCUAGUUAACUGUAAUUAUAUGCAAUCCAUUCCCACAAAAUACAAAUAACAAGUUUACCCUGCAAUAUUUACCUUUUGCAGCAAAACUUGAAAUCGACAUGUUAAUAUCAGAAAGUUCCACAUUAACUUUGAUCAAUGAAAUUCUCAUCAAUAGAAAAUCAUAAGAAGUCAUCUUAAAAAUACAAAUAGAAACAUAAAACAUGAACAUUGGUGUAAUCGU
Non-coding RNA from Chiloscyllium plagiosum (whitespotted bambooshark), 895 nucleotides. Lineage: Eukaryota; Metazoa; Chordata; Chondrichthyes; Orectolobiformes; Hemiscylliidae. The record is from RefSeq and is a predicted model, not a curated record.